GUGCUUGCUUCAGCAGCAUAUAUACUAAAAUUAGAACAAUACAGAGGCUAUUAGCAUGGCCCCUGCAUAAGGAUGACACCCAGGGGUAUGCGUGAAGUGUUCUAUGACUUA
Sorex araneus (European shrew) is the source of this 111-nucleotide small nuclear RNA. Lineage: Eukaryota; Metazoa; Chordata; Mammalia; Eulipotyphla; Soricidae. The record is from Ensembl.